UGCAUCGUCUGGGAAUCUAACCCGGGCCGCGAGCCAUGGCAGGCGAGCAUUCUACCACUGAACCACCGAUGG
Molecule: non-coding RNA, 72 nt
Organism: Cordylochernes scorpioides
Lineage: Eukaryota; Metazoa; Arthropoda; Arachnida; Pseudoscorpiones; Chernetidae
Source: the annotation of a GenBank genome assembly